ACGAACAAAGUAACGUACGAAAUAACUGGAGCCUGACCAAUAAUCUGAUAAUAAUAAUAACAAUAAUAAUAAUAAUAAUGGCCAAUAUACAUAUAUACAUAUAUAUAUAUAUAUAUAUAUAUAUAUAUAUAUAUAUAUAUAUAUAUAUAUACAUACAUAUAUUUAUAAUUGUGUCAGUGAUUCCUAAGAUGUCUUUAUCAAACCCUUAUGACCCUCAUUGUACCCUUAUUUAACAUUAACACUUAAAUUGAGUCUUGAUAUUUUACAGUUUAACCAGUGGCAGUCCUGUGGGAGGAAGCCAUCGAUGAGGCAUUUGAAAGGAAAAGGUUGCGAUAUGCAAACUUGGCUGCCAAAGCAGAGGACCGGGGCUGGAAAGUAAACGUGCGUCCAGUGCAAGUGGGCUGCAGGGGCUUUGUAGCUAGUUCCACCACAAGGCUACUAAAAGAGCUUGGAAUCAGAGGACAGGCUCAGCGGAAGACCAUCAAAGACUGUCAGCUGUCAGCUGUGGCUGAAGCGGAAGGAGACUGUAUGGGCUGCCAAGUGACCUCAUGGAGCCUCCAGUGCGACACACACCCAGGUCUGUGUCUCAGCCUGCGGUGGGCCAGCCUUGGGUGAGGGUGUAUUGUGAUAAAAGGCCGAAACACCCAAUGAGGCCGGGGUGCACAACUGAUGAGGUGUCGUAUUGGAGGCACCAGGCGGUCAUCCCCCAAUCCAACCCCACCCAAGAGGACAUCUCCAACAACAGCGCUUGUGCUGAAUAUCAAGGGAUUCUAACAUCUAGUCCUAGGUCUCCAGUUGUGGCUCUGGACUCUGGUGGCGAUCAGCAGCCAGGUGAGCAGCAGGGAGCAACACGCCAACAUCUCGCCUUUUUUCCGUCAACAGUGGGGAUUUGCUUCCUCCUCACAAGUCUUCCUCAUGACCUACCGCCUGAGGUUCAAGUCAACGGACAGACGAGUAAAGACGACCUGCAUCAGAUACCUUCGACUGUCUUCUUCCCCUUCUCUGCAGUAGUUAUUCAAACGUCUGCGUUAAAAAACAAAAAAGAUCAGAUCUCAGUUGUUGUCUGA
RNAcentral lists this long non-coding RNA (1067 nucleotides) under Scophthalmus maximus (turbot). RNAcentral describes it as "lncRNA (ENSSMAG00000035127.1)". The record is from RNAcentral. Lineage: Eukaryota; Metazoa; Chordata; Actinopteri; Pleuronectiformes; Scophthalmidae.